This 384-nucleotide ribosomal RNA is filed under the name uncultured bacterium. Its description in RNAcentral is "bacterial SSU rRNA". It matches the Rfam family "Bacterial small subunit ribosomal RNA", at positions 28 to 414 of the family's 1533-position model. The record is from RNAcentral.
GACGAACGCUGGCGGCGUGCUUAACACAUGCAAGUCGAACGGUGACGGAGAGCUUGCUCUCCUGAUCAGUGGCGAACGGGUGAGUAACACGUGGGCAACCUGCCCAGACUUCGGGAUAACGCUUCGAAAGAGGUGCUAAUACCGGAUACGAGCUCCUUGGGCAUCCUUGGAGUUGGAAAGUUUUUCGGUCUGGGAUGGGCCCGCGGCCUAUCAGCUAGUUGGUGAGGUAACGGCUCACCAAGGCGACGACGGGUAGCCGGCCUGAGAGGGCGACCGGCCACACUGGGACUGAGACACGGCCCAGACUCCUACGGGAGGCAGCAGUGGGGAAUAUUGCGCAAUGGGCGAAAGCCUGACGCAGCAACGCCGCGUGAGGGAUGACGG